Non-coding RNA from Gossypium raimondii (Peruvian cotton), 107 nucleotides. The record is from Rfam. Lineage: Eukaryota; Viridiplantae; Streptophyta; Magnoliopsida; Malvales; Malvaceae.
AUACCAUGGUGAGGUCACCUUCACAAUAACUUUUUGAACCACUACCACGCCUCGUGUAAAGAUUCUUCGUCGAAUUGUUAGAAUGUUGUGAUUUCAUUCCGAAGUUU